RNAcentral lists this long non-coding RNA (2558 nucleotides) under Salvia miltiorrhiza (redroot sage). RNAcentral describes it as "long non-coding RNA (SMIL_LNC006884)". Lineage: Eukaryota; Viridiplantae; Streptophyta; Magnoliopsida; Lamiales; Lamiaceae. The record is from RNAcentral.
GGUUGAAGUUUUAAAGCAAAUUGAACUUUAUAAUUUGCAUAAUUUCGAUUACAUGAAUAUGAUUUUAGUUUUCAUAUGAAUCAAUUAUGAUGGAUCUUCAAAAUUUAUUUAAUUUGGAAAUAAAUUGGGCCUAACUGAUUAUUAGGCUAUUUAAGAGUAUUUUGGACCAGAUUGUUCAACCCAUUAUACAAUUAUCAUUUUUCCUUCUUACUUUGAGCUCACGCCUUCUACAGUGGUGAACAAACCAGAUAUUUCACUCUUACUUUUUUUAUUGAAAGAAGAAUAAGCAUCCCCGUAGCUUGUUUUCACCCUUUUAACACCCCUUCCUCAUCUAAUUCACAUCACCCCAAAAAGAAUAACACUCACAAUUCAAUUUCUUCAGCUGCUAGAAUUUCUGCAGUACUCUUCCCAAUCCCAGAUUUUCGAAUCCAAUUCAUACGGAUACAGAUAGCAUAAACCUCAUCAAGGUUUGCUUUCUUUCCUACCCAGCUUUCUGCAUCAAUUAUAUUGAUGUCUCCUCGAACUAACCAAUAUUCAAUGAUUUCAAUUUCAACAAAACACAUACGUUUUCUUUACUUUGGAUCUCAUCACCUGCAAGAAUACCUAAUGACCAUAUCGAAACAGGGUAUAUAUAUAUGGGUACACAGAACAACUUGCAUAAAAUGUUGAAAAGAAGCUAUCUUUUUCAUGUAUAUGUGGGUGUGUGCUGCUGUGUGCGUGAGUUUUUCGAAGCUGCUGUCGCUGUUGUUGUGAGUCGGGAUGUGUGAGUUGGUGGAGGAGGCAGUCGAAGGAGGCGACCCUCGUUGCAGUCGAUCGGCGAGGAGAGGGCUGAGGUUGUGAGGUUGCUGAGCCGUGAACACAGGGAUCGGCGGUGGCGGUGGCCUAUUAGCUGCUGCUGCGUGCCGGUUGGACGGAGAGAAGGGUUAGGCGAGAGGCGAAGGAGGCGGAGGUUCCGGCUGUAAUGUCGCCGGAAAUCGUAGGGGGAAGCAGCUAGGGUUUCUGAUUUGGGGAUUUAGGAUUUCUGCAUUUGGGGGUUCGGUGAAUUGAGGGAGGAGAGAGAAAGAUAGAGAGAGACGGGGCGGCGGUGGUAAACGCCGGCGACGCGCCGCCGGAUUCGUGGGAGGCGGCGGUGGCGUAAGAGGGAAGAAGAGAGGAACCUAAGGAGAGAGAGAGAUGGGGAGUUCUUGUGUUGUGUCUGUGUGUGCGCGUUGAAAAAGAAGAAAAGAAAAAAUGAGGGAGAGAUUGAUGAGUUGAGUUGGGCUCAAGCAUUGGGCCUUUAAUUUAAUGAAGUGGGCUGCACUUUUAUAACUUGGGCUAUGAAUUAUAUUUUGGGCUGUAUUUUUAUAUGAAGAGAGCCUCUUAUUAAAUUACUAAUUGGGCAAUGAAUUUACUUAUUUGUGAAUUGAGUUGUUAGACUCUUAAUUGAGUUUAACUAAGUAUUUAAACAUGAUUGCAUAUGCAUAUGUAUUGGAUGUAAUUACCGAAAUAUGUGUUUUAAUGCAUAAAAAGAAUUUGCAUUAUACAUUUUGCAUAAAAGCAUUUAUGAGUAAAUUGAGUUUUUAAAGUAAAAGCCGAGCAAAGGUAUUAUUGAAACCCUUAGCCAAGAAAAAUGAUUUUUAAGUUUUAUGUUGAAUUUUUGAAAACUCGGGUGUUCCGAAUCUAGUUAAAAAAUGAUGACAAGUCAUGAGUUUAACGACUAUGAGUUUAAGUUGAGAACUUAUCUUGUAGGUCCUACAGAAGAGGAUAUUUAGGCUCUUGAUCAGCUGAGUUAUAUUGUUUGGAUUUUCUCCAAAUCAAGUGAGGCUUUAUUUAUGAAAUGUAUGUUUGAGCUAAUAAGCUCGUUUUUAUGAAAUGUUAAAGUUGAUGGUUCAUGCUUAAAAUGUUUUUGCUCUCUAUUGGUUAUUGCUUCUACUAGAACAUUGUUGGCUCCGCCAACCAGAACAUUGUUAGCUCUGCUAACCAGAAUUGUGUACGUACACCAGAACCUAUUGUCUCGAGAGAUUCGGUGACAACCAGUUGUAGAUAGCACGCCCAAUAGAUGAGCCAGGAAAAUAUGAGCUCAGAUUAUUUUAGUGUGCAUGGAAUGACUCAUUUUUAAAAACAUAAUGUGUUAUACUGUUUAAAGCAUGAAUUAUCUUUUUAGAAUAUAUAUAUUUCAAAUGUUUUUAAAUGGCCCAACCUACUGAGUACACUAGUACUCAGCCCUGCAAAUGUUUUCAAAACCUUUUGCAGAUUGAGCAGCUGGUGGUGACGUGCGAGGCUGAGGAAAGGUUGUUGUUGUAAUAUUGAAGAACACUAUGUUUUACUUCCGCUGAAAUAGAUUCACUUGGUGAAUAUAAUCUUAGGCCUAACUAUAAUUUAAAUCGUUUUAAUCUGGAUUCCAUUUUCCAUCGUUUUCCCAAGUGAUUGUUAUUCUGCAUAUAUAUUAUGUAUGCCUAAUAUGAAAUGUUGUUUUGGGCUCAGACCUUCGAACUUUCGAUCCUGUUAGGGAUAACAAUUAUAUCAUAAUAUCAUGCUUAUUACCUUUGGAAUAUGACAUAUUUUUCAAUUGAUGAAAU